GGACAUCCACAAGGUGGUAUGAAUCAGCAUACACUGUCUCAGUCGGCGAGCAGCCUAUGCCAAAGUACAUCAAGUUUCCUCGAGCAGUGAGUGUAUUAUUUCACAGUCGAUGAACUUUUUGCUUAGGUAAAUUGCGUGCUCUUUUCGACAAGACUAGUCAUACUGACCCAAUACGCACCUCAUAGAUCCUUUGAGGGCUGUCAAGUACCAGAUUAACAAUUGUUUCUUCCCCGGAAGGUAUCAGAAUCAGAGGUUCCUGCUACUCAUUUUUUCUUUCCAUGCCCCUUGGCAGUCAUCAUUCCACCUGACCAUUUGAUUUCUUUCCUUUUUUUUUGUUUUUGGUUCAGGCGUUUCUAGUAUUGUUCUUUUUUUCUCUCUUUUUUUUUUUUUUGCAGGAUCGACCUUCGUUCCUCUGAUUUACUCACAACAAGCCUCGGUAGCUUGAUGAACAACACUCCAUAAGUGCACUGAUUCGGACUCAACAGUAUGAGUGAUCUCAGUCGGCCAAACACCUUGCCCUGGCCUGCCGGGUGCCCCUGUUCUGCUUGGGACUGUGUCAUCAUGUCAUCAACAUGGCAUUCGCUUUCACGAUGAAUCAUAUCAUGAAACAAAGUCACCGUAGACUUCUG
RNAcentral lists this long non-coding RNA (629 nucleotides) under Lathyrus oleraceus (garden pea). Its description in RNAcentral is "Pisum sativum (pea) long non-coding RNA (PSAT_LNC009232)". The record is from RNAcentral. Lineage: Eukaryota; Viridiplantae; Streptophyta; Magnoliopsida; Fabales; Fabaceae.